Molecule: non-coding RNA, 99 nt
Filed under: Clostridia bacterium
Lineage: Bacteria; Bacillati; Bacillota; Clostridia
Description: Glycine sequence
Rfam family: Glycine riboswitch aptamer
About the family: This family represents the bacterial glycine riboswitch.
Source: RNAcentral
AGAUGAUUUUCGGGAGAGACCAAUUUUGGCGCCGAAGGAAUAAGUCAUAGGAAAUUGCUUUAUGAUGAAGCUCUCAGGCAAAAGGACCGAUAAUCGUAC